ACAUGCUGCCGCACUUCCAUCAUGGCCGCACGCUCCUCCGCGCCCCAAUCGUCACCGCCGACGGGGAUCCUCGAGCACCAUCAACCUACCACGCAGUCCAUGGCCGCCUCCCCACGCAGUCCCCUUCUUGCUGCCGACGCGAAUCCGGUCAACCCCUUCCUCCUCUCCUUCUCUUCCUCCAGUGAUCUCCGCUGGAUCCUGCCGCCGUCAACACCAAGCAUCGGAGUCACGGACCUGCAAUCCAUCGCCGCGCCUAUCUUCUUCUCACUGCGGCUGCUCCACAUCGCAUCCGCCCACCGUCGUGACGCCCCCAACCCUUCUGCUUUCCCCAACCCCUGCUGGUUGACCUUCUCGCAAAGGCCACCUCGACCUUCUCGAGGAAGGUUACUUCCGAGGAUCCGGCUCGCGAGGUGCACACCAUCUCAUCCUAGUUGUUGUUGUGUGAAGAUCUGCCGGCCUGAAUACGCAAGAGCAAGAACAGAGGGAAAUACGGAGCAUGAGUAUAACAUGGACUGCUCUCACGCGCCGCCAUGGACUGCUCCGCUGCCAUCCCCAUCGUGAUGUGUCCACGGGGCUCCCUGACCCAUCGACGGGGACAGCUGCAUGUAGCCCCCUGCUCCUCAACUCUGAUGGCCGCGCAGGCAGCCAUCCCUCCAGGAGGCCGACACCAUGCUGGCUACUUGCUUCCACUCACAUGCUUGCGAAUGGAUGGUGCAUGUGCUUCUCUGUGUGUAUGCUCAUCCAUGAUUAAACAUGGAGUAUUCUCCGUCUGUGAUUAGCUACUCUGGUUCAUGCGUACAUCUUAUAUUUGAUGCUAACAUGUGCCUAAUGCAGACCGCUAAAAAAGACAGAUCAUUCAGUUAUAAACAUCAUUAUUCUAGGAUAGUUAACUAACCAAAAUAAGACAUGCACAAUUCACUCUAAAAACGACAAUUCAUUUUACUGAUGAGCAUCAG
Triticum dicoccoides is the source of this 956-nucleotide RNA transcript. RefSeq lists it as uncharacterized. The record is from RefSeq and is a predicted model, not a curated record. The transcript is spliced from 2 exons. NCBI's taxonomy places the organism in Eukaryota, Viridiplantae, Streptophyta, Magnoliopsida, Poales, Poaceae.